This 206-nucleotide unclassified non-coding RNA is filed under the name soil metagenome. RNAcentral's name for it is "partial contains 5.8S ribosomal RNA, internal transcribed spacer 2, and large subunit ribosomal RNA". The record is from RNAcentral.
AACAUCGCGCACCUGCGGGAACCUGCGGAAGGAUCAUUACCGAGUUUACAACUCCCAAACCCCUGUGAACAUACCUAUACGUUGCCUCGGCGGAUCAGCCCGCGCCCUGUAAAAAGGGACGGCCCGCCCGAGGACCCUAAACUCUGUUUUUAGUGGAACUUCUGAGUAAAACAGACAAAUAAAUCAAAACUUUCAGCAACGGAUCU